This 494-nucleotide ribosomal RNA is filed under the name uncultured bacterium. RNAcentral describes it as "partial 16S ribosomal RNA". It matches the Rfam family "Bacterial small subunit ribosomal RNA", at positions 28 to 507 of the family's 1533-position model. The record is from RNAcentral.
GACGAACGCUGGCGGCGUGCUUAACACAUGCAAGUCGAACGGAAAGGCCUGCUUUCCCUUGUGGAUUGCGGGUACUCGAGUGGCGAACGGGUGAGUAGCACGUGAGUGAUCUGCCCCCAACUUGGGUAUAAGCCUGGGAAACUGGGUCUAAUUCCCGAUAGGACUGCAGGGUGGUGCCUGUGGUGGAAAACGAUUUUCUAGUGGUUGGGGAUGAGCUCGCGGCCUAUCAGCUUGUUGGUGGGGUAAUGGCCUACCAAGGCGGCGACGGGUAGCCGGCCUGGGAGGGUGGACGGCCACAUUGGGACUGAGAUACGGCCCAGAAGACUACGGGAGGAAGCAGUGGGGAAUAUUGCACAAUGGGCGGAAGCCUGAUGCAGCGACGCCGCGUGGGGGAUGACGGCCUUCGGGUUGUAAACUCCUUUCGACCGCGAGGAAGCCACCUGGUUGGAAGGGUGGUGACGGUAGUGGUAGAAGAAGCACCGGCUAACUACGUG